CAUCAUUCUGAGAGAAGACAAGGGCUCUACCUUGUCAGCCUGCAGACGUUAUCACCAGACUGGUGUCUGAAAUAGAGUCCUAGAGCAGCCUGCAGUUCAGCUACCCCUGGCCCAGCUGGAGCCCUAGUGCGGGCAGCCCCCAACCCCAGAUUAAAGUGUCUGUUUCCCCACACUGUUCCAGGCCAGAGUGGGGAAAAGAAUGGCAGUGGUGCUACGUCCCGUCUGCUGCGGCCCCGCAGCCUGAGAGAUGGUCUUGCUUUCUAGGUUCCGAGUCUGGAGAUGGCAAUGAAAGCAACGUUUACCCAGGCCGGGUCAUCUAGCAAGGGAGCUGGUCGUGGAGUGCGACAGAGACCUCUCCACCCAGAAGCCCUUUACGUGUCCCCCAGUGCCUCCCUUCUUCCCUCCUCUUUACUGAAACUGAAGCCAAUGUGUUCGCAGUUACCAUUUUCACCCGUGCCACUCCUUUUGGGGGUCUGGCUUGAGCAUCCAUGGGCAGCCACAGGGACCUUCCCAGCCAGCACAGGCAAAACAGCCGAGCCCCCAGUGUGCUGCCCUGCUGCUGCCCCUCAGCCCAGAAGCCUGGGCUCCCAGUGCUGAGGCCCUCUGUUCAGGCCUCAGCCCACCCUGAGUCGAGUGGAGCCAUGCAUUCAGUAAACUGACUUUAUUCUCCCAU
RNAcentral lists this long non-coding RNA (673 nucleotides) under Rattus norvegicus (Norway rat). RNAcentral's name for it is "long non-coding RNA NONRATT006149". Lineage: Eukaryota; Metazoa; Chordata; Mammalia; Rodentia; Muridae. The record is from RNAcentral.